CCUACGGGGGGCUGCAGUUCGGAAUAUUCGGCAAUGGACGAAAGUCUGACCGAGCGACGCCGCGUGCGGGAUGAAGGCCCUCUGGGUUGUAAACCGCUUUAGGGAGUGAGCAAACUAUCCGGUGUGAACAUCAUCGGGUAUUGAGUUAAGCUCCUAAAUAAGCCCCCGCUAAUCACGUGCCAGCAGCGGCGGUAAUACGUGAGGGGCAAACGUUGUUCGGUGUCACUGGGCUUAAAGGGUGCGUAGGUGGUUGCGUAAGUAACGUGUGAAAUCCC
RNAcentral lists this ribosomal RNA (275 nucleotides) under uncultured bacterium. RNAcentral's name for it is "partial 16S ribosomal RNA". It matches the Rfam family "Bacterial small subunit ribosomal RNA", at positions 338 to 603 of the family's 1533-position model. The record is from RNAcentral.